GAUGAACGCUAGCUACAGGCUUAACACAUGCAAGUCGAGGGGCAGCAUGAAAGUUUGCUUGCAAACUUUUGAUGGCGACCGGCGCACGGGUGAGUAACACGUAUCCAACCUGCCUCAUACUCGGGGAUAGCCUUUCGAAAGAAAGAUUAAUACCCGAUGUCAUAGUCCUACCGCAUGAUGGGAUUAUUAAAGAAUUUCGGUAUGGGAUGGGGAUGCGUUCCAUUAGUUAGUUGGCGGGGUAACGGCCCACCAAGACAACGAUGGAUAGGGGUUCUGAGAGGAAGGUCCCCCACAUUGGAACUGAGACACGGCCCAU
This 316-nucleotide ribosomal RNA is filed under the name uncultured bacterium. Its description in RNAcentral is "bacterial SSU rRNA". It matches the Rfam family "Bacterial small subunit ribosomal RNA", at positions 28 to 334 of the family's 1533-position model. The record is from RNAcentral.